This 72-nucleotide transfer RNA is filed under the name Streptomyces purpureus. RNAcentral describes it as "tRNA-Asp". The record is from RNAcentral. Lineage: Bacteria; Bacillati; Actinomycetota; Actinomycetes; Kitasatosporales; Streptomycetaceae.
CGGUACGUGGCGAGGUCGCGCUCGUCGAGGUCGCCGGCGCGGACGACGCGGGUCGCCCCCGCCCGUACCGGC